CAGAGCCGCGGGAAAACGAAGGGGGCUAGCGUUGCUCGGAAUCACUGGGCGUAAAGGGUGCGUAGGCGGGUUUUUAAGUCAGAGGUGAAAUCCUGGAGCUCAACUCCAGAACUGCCUUUGAUACUGAAAGUCUUGAGUAUGGGAGAGGUGAGUGGAACUGCGAGUGUAGAGGUGAAAUUCGUAGAUAUUCGGAGGAACACCAGUGGCGGAGGCGGCUCACUGGUCCAUUACUGACGCUGAGGCGCGAAAGCGUGGGGAGCAAACAGGAUUAGAUACCCGCGUAGUCCCUGUCUCUUAUACA
Molecule: ribosomal RNA, 301 nt
Filed under: uncultured bacterium
Lineage: Bacteria
Description: partial 16S ribosomal RNA
Rfam family: Bacterial small subunit ribosomal RNA
Source: RNAcentral